GGGAAAGAAACCUGGAAAGGUAGGGAGGUAUGGAUAUGGACAAGCUAUGCCAAGGAGCAGGGCUUUGUCAUGGAGAGUGACUAGGUGCUUUUACAUAGGAAAGUCACCUGAUAAUAUUAAAACCUGUGAAAUAUCACUCUGGUGGAAGUGUGAAUGAAUUUGAAAGGGGUGUAACACUGUUCUACUUUGUUUACUCCUCAGUACCCUUGGCUGUGUACAUUUGAGUAAAGAGAGCACUAUAAAAUCAAAAACCAAUGAAAUGGUUUCCAGAACACAGAACUAUUAAGCUUAAGAAAAGGACAGAAGGAACUGAAGAGAGAGGAACUGUUUUGGAGCAUCACACUUCCACCUCAGAAGAAAUAAGGAAGGAAGGAGGAGGGUGUUCCCACGGCUCUUCAACCAGGCCGGCUCUUCAGCCUACAUCCCCAUCUCAUCAAGUAAAAGGGAUUUUUCAACUGGACCAACCAGAUGGUUUAACAGUGCACUCCCACACCAUUCAACUACGCAAGGGAGAUACACUUAACAUAUGCAGUCGUAUAACACCUACUAACAUUUUCAAACAUUAAACCUUUAAAAAAGAGUUCUAAAGAAAUAGAAGCUUGAAGUAUCAUCUCUCAAGUAUAUAGACACUACUUCAUGGUGUGGUAAUAUAUGCAUAUAGAAGCUAGUAAACACCUCCAGGAGAUGCAAAAGGAAUUAGAACUGCCACAAGGUGCAAGCAAAACCUUGAGGUAAUCAAUCUGCAUCCCAUUUUGGAUGAGAAUAUUUGCAACUUUGAAGGUUAUUUUAAGGACAGCAGCAGAAGAAUUAUGGCAGCUCUUCACGGAAAAAAAAAUGGCAACAAUAAAAUCAGCAACUCCUGCCAAAUAAAUGGGCAUAAAAAAGAAAUCAUAGACUGCUGGCAAUGGUGGGGAAAAAGUUAUAAAAAUUGUCUCUGCACCAUCUUCCUUUUGUCCUCUAAAAUAUUCACAUUAGCAAAAGUAUAUAACAGCUGAUGAAGAAAUACUGAUAAUUUGUCUUUUUCUGUUUUUCCUCUUCUAAUCCUUCACCCAUCUGAGCUAAAGUCUAGACCUAAGGAGGCUACUAAUUCAGGGAUCGAGUAAUCUGCCAAGCAAGAGUUUAUUCAAGCACAGUUUGAAAUAAAGGUUUCAAAUGCAUAGCCUGUCGAUACUUUGGAAGGAUUCUCAUCAUAACGAGUAUGCAAUUUGCUAUAAAGAAGAAUGCCCAUUACGGACUAAAUGUUUAUGUCCUCCUAAAAUUCAUAUGUUGAAGGCCUAACUCUCAAUGUGAUGAUUAUGUGGAGAUGGUGCCUUUGGGAGGUAACUGGGCUUAGAUGUGGGCGUGAGGGUGGGGCCUCAUGGUGAAAUUUGUGCCCUUGUAAGAAAAACACACCACAGGUUUUCAUUCUUCCUCUGCCACAUGAGGCCACAGUAAGAAUGUGACCAUCUGCUAGCCAGGAGGAAAGUCCUCACUGGAACCCGCCCAUAAUAACACUCCAGUCUGGGGCUUUUCAGCCUCCAGAACCAUGAGAAAUAAAUUUCUAGUGUUUAAGUCA
Molecule: long non-coding RNA, 1555 nt
Organism: Homo sapiens (human)
Lineage: Eukaryota; Metazoa; Chordata; Mammalia; Primates; Hominidae
Product: long intergenic non-protein coding RNA 343
Source: Ensembl